RNAcentral lists this ribosomal RNA (329 nucleotides) under uncultured eukaryote. RNAcentral's name for it is "partial 18S ribosomal RNA". It matches the Rfam family "Eukaryotic small subunit ribosomal RNA", at positions 1470 to 1796 of the family's 1831-position model. The record is from RNAcentral.
CCCUUAGAUGUCCUGGGCCGCACGCGCGCUACACUGAGUGUCUGAGAUACGAGUCUGCCUGGUCCGGCAAGGUCUAGGUAAUCGCUAAAAGACACAGCAUGCUUGGGAUAGAUUAUUGCAAAUAUUAAUCUUGAACGAGGAAUUCCUAGUAAGCGCAAGUCAACAGCUUGCGUUGAUUACGUCCCUGCCCUUUGUACACACCGCCCGUCGCUACUACUGAUUGGAUGUUUAAGCGAGGUUCUCGAACUGCUAGCGACUUAGCUUCGGUGAGGUCGCAGUGUGGGAAGUGAACCGAGCUUUGGUGUCUAGAGGAAGUAAAAGUCGUAACA